GGCUAUAGCUCAGUGGUAGAGCACCUGCCUUGCACGUGCGAGGCCCUGGGUUUGAUCCUCAGCACCA
Molecule: transfer RNA, 67 nt
Filed under: Marmota monax (woodchuck)
Lineage: Eukaryota; Metazoa; Chordata; Mammalia; Rodentia; Sciuridae
Description: tRNA.Ala
Source: RNAcentral